GAUGCUCAUGUAAACAAGUAUUGUGCCUGGUGGCUCUAUUGGUAUUCUACCUUCUAAGUUACCAACAUAGUUAACCAACUUAUGCAACUGGCUUGACCCACCUGCUUGCUAACUAACCAGAGGGAGGAGGCACUAAACCCCAUUAUGGGGAUGAUAUGAGUAGGAUAACCUACCAGCCUUGCCAAUAAAUAAAUGCAAGUAGGAUCAAACAAG
RNAcentral lists this long non-coding RNA (213 nucleotides) under Elaeis guineensis (African oil palm). Its description in RNAcentral is "long non-coding RNA (EGUI_LNC037834)". The record is from RNAcentral. Lineage: Eukaryota; Viridiplantae; Streptophyta; Magnoliopsida; Arecales; Arecaceae.